CAGCCGUGAUGAGACGGUGUGUGUUGCUGUUGUUGUGCUGAGUCUCACCUCGGUGGGCCAGCCUGCGCCGCUGGUCUGUGAAAGCUGCUGAAGCCAGCGGACAAAGCUCCAGACUAAUUUCCUGGAUUUGGUAUUUCAUUGCCUUGACCUCGGAUACCUGUGUGGUUACCACAUUACUGAAUUUUUGUUUGGCCAAGUUAUUCAAUGAAUAUUACCUCCAUGAACACACCCAACGUCUAUAAGCCAACAUAGGAUUAAACGUAAGCAAUAUAUGGAUAUUGUGGAACUGAAUCCGAAAUUUUUUGUUUGAGAACAACACGGUCUUUGAUGACGACGCAACAAUUUCCCAGUUAUCAACCAGAGAUGCUGCUGCAGAGUGGCUGCUCUGACUGCUUCAUUGUAAAGAGGAAGGACAAGAACAUUGAUAUGCUCAUGCUCUUCAGUAGGAGGCAGAACGUCCCCGCUGCUGAGCUAAUGAGUUUGAGAAACAGGCAGAGUGCCUCGGCUGGGCCAAACCAGAGGUCCUAAACUCAGAUCAUGAUAUUGAAAACUGCCUGGACGAUGACGACAUUGAUAAUCCGGAAUUGUUACCCUUGAUUUUUCAAAGACUGCGCAACAAGUAUGAAGUCCCCUUCAAGUGUAUGUCAGAGAGUGCUCAAACAUUCCACAAGGCUGUCUAUGAGUGGGCUCUGCAACAGUGGGCCACUCUCUGGUGAAUGUGCUAGUGAUCUUCAACAGGGGGUCCGGGACUCCUGGGGGACCUCAGAGUCUCCAGUCAACAGGGGGUCUCCAAAUUCUUGUUGAUUUUUGAACUUAAUUUUACAUAACAUAUAUAGUAAGGGGUCCCUGCUCCCUUUCUCUUUCAGUUAACCUUCUGAGACCUAAGGCCAUUUUUACAGUUUAUUGUCAGUCUGGAUUUAUUUUAUAAAAAGCUUGUAAAACAUCAACCCUGUUGUCUACAGUCAAGAUAUGAACAUCAUUUUUUUUUAGGACAAACUGGGUUAUUAGAAUAUUUGGGUUGCAGUGAGGUCACUUGCAUGUUAAAAAUGGUUGUAGGGCCUUAAAGACAAAUAAAUAUAAAUUGGAAC
Long non-coding RNA from Etheostoma spectabile (orangethroat darter), 1088 nucleotides. RefSeq lists it as uncharacterized. The transcript is spliced from 6 exons. Lineage: Eukaryota; Metazoa; Chordata; Actinopteri; Perciformes; Percidae. The record is from RefSeq and is a predicted model, not a curated record.